GACGAACGCUGGCGGCGUGCCUAAUACAUGCAAGUCGAACGCAGUGGGGACGGGUGCGUAACACGUGGGUAACCUCCCAUCAGAGGGGAUAACACUUGGAAACAGGUGCUAAACCGAUACUGAUGGAUGGACCCGCGGUGCAUUAGCUAGUUGGUGGGGUAACGGCCCACCACGGCCAAGAUGCAUAGCCGGCCUGGGAGGGUGGGCGGCCAAACUGGGACUGGAACAAGGCCCAGACUCCUACGGGAGGCAGCAGGAGGGAAACAUCGGAAAUGGGCGAAAGUCUGGCCGAGCAAAGCCGCGGGGGUGAAGAAGGUUUUCUGAUCGGAAAACUAUGUUGUUAAGGGAGCGGUACUUAACCAGAAAGGAACGGCUAACUACGUGCCAGCAGCCGCGGUAAUUC
RNAcentral lists this ribosomal RNA (403 nucleotides) under uncultured bacterium. RNAcentral's name for it is "partial 16S ribosomal RNA". It matches the Rfam family "Bacterial small subunit ribosomal RNA", at positions 28 to 526 of the family's 1533-position model. The record is from RNAcentral.